GAUGAACGCUGGCGGCGUGUCUAAUACAUGCAAGUCGAGCGAACAGACGAGGAGCUUGCUCCUCUGACGUUAGCGGCGGACGGGUGAGUAACACGUGGAUAACCUACCUAUAAGACUGGGAUAACUUCGGGAAACCGGAGCUAAUACCGGAUAAUAUAUUGAACCGCAUGGUUCAAUAGUGAAAGACGGUUUUGCUGUCACUUAUAGAUGGAUUCGCGCCGCAUUAGCUAGUUGGUAAGGUAACGGCUUACCAAGGCAACGAUGCGUAGCCGACCUGAGAGGGUGAUCGGCCACACUGGAACUGGAACACGGUCCAGACUGCUACGGGAGGCAGCAGUAGGGAAUCUUCCGCAAUGGGCGAAAGCCUGGCGGAGCAACGCCGCGUGAGUGAUGAAGGUCUUCGGAUCGUAAAACUCUGUUAUUAGGGAAGAACAAAUGUGUAAGUAACUAUGCACGUCUUGACGGUACCUAAUCAGAAAGCCACGGCUAGCUACGUG
Molecule: ribosomal RNA, 497 nt
Filed under: uncultured bacterium
Lineage: Bacteria
Description: partial 16S ribosomal RNA
Rfam family: Bacterial small subunit ribosomal RNA
Source: RNAcentral